RNAcentral lists this transfer RNA (69 nucleotides) under Virpazaria ripkeni. RNAcentral describes it as "tRNA-Trp". Lineage: Eukaryota; Metazoa; Mollusca; Gastropoda; Stylommatophora; Spelaeodiscidae. The record is from RNAcentral.
AUAUUUAUAAGUUAACAAAACUAUUGACCUUCAAAGUCAAAAAUAUAAUUCAUUUUGUUAAAUAUACCA